AAGAUUUUUUUUUUUGGCCUCUUGGAUCUCUAAAGAGCAUGAGGUCUGUCUCAUAGGCAAGGAUCUGCUGGCAGUUGGCUACUGAUAGUUUGGGCUGCUAUAGAAAACUGAAGGAGAGAGUGGUAGCUGUCUAUUAUUUUAGGGAGUUAGGGAGUUAGUGAAUCAUUUAUAGAUAGUGUAGGUUAGAUAGGCCUGUGUUUGCCAGGCAAGAAGAAGCUAUCCUCAGACGACAGAGAUCUUUUACAAGAGGCUCUGCAGCAUUCCAGAAAUUUAAAUAGCUAGUACAACAUAUGCAUAAACAGGAGCAUCUGGAAUACCAUAUCAUAUACAAAGAAUAAAACGAUCAUACUUCAUCUUGAACACUACAUUGAAUCUCUUCUAAAGAAACUCAUCAUUGGGGAAUCUCAUUAUACUGCAAGAUUGAUCUCAUCAGUACCCUCAGGGAUUUUGACUGAACCCUUUAAUUGGAGGGCAGAGAUAUUGGAUCCAGGAUUUUAUAUAAAGAAGGAUGCUACACAGUUUUAAUUCCCAUUUCCUACCAACUUCACUGUUUCUGUACUUCAUUGAAAUCUCCUUCAUUACAACACACUAGGAUCAUCUAUUCCUUUUCUGCCUCACUUUAAAACUUCUUUUUGUAAAUUGUCUUCCCAUUAGAGUGUAAAUUACUUGAGGGAAUGGAUUGUUUUUAUUUGUAUUUGUAUCCCAGUAUUUAGCAUUGUGCCUGACAUGUAGAAGUCAUUUAAUAAAUGAUUAUUUACCUAUUGACUAAAGUAAUAA
This 777-nucleotide long non-coding RNA is filed under the name Monodelphis domestica (gray short-tailed opossum). RNAcentral's name for it is "lncRNA (ENSMODG00000049454.1)". The record is from RNAcentral. Lineage: Eukaryota; Metazoa; Chordata; Mammalia; Didelphimorphia; Didelphidae.